Molecule: ribosomal RNA, 428 nt
Filed under: bacterium
Lineage: Bacteria
Description: partial 16S ribosomal RNA
Rfam family: Bacterial small subunit ribosomal RNA
Source: RNAcentral
UGGGGAAUCUUCCGCAAUGGACGAAAGUCUGACGGAGCAACGCCGCGUGAGUGAUGACGGCCUUCGGGUUGUAAAGCUCUGUUAAUCGGGACGAAUGGUUCUUGUGCGAAUAGUGCAAGGAUUUGACGGUACCGGAAUAGAAAGCCACGGCUAACUACGUGCCAGCAGCCGCGGUAAUACGUAGGUGGCAAGCGUUGUCCGGAAUUAUUGGGCGUAAAGCGCGCGCAGGCGGAUUGGUCAGUCUGUCUUAAAAGUUCGGGGCUUAACCCCGUGAUGGGAUGGAAACUGCUAAUCUAGAGUAUCGGAGAGGAAAGUGGAAUUCCUAGUGUAGCGGUGAAAUGCGUAGAUAUUAGGAAGAACACCAGUGGCGAAGGCGACUUUCUGGACGAAAACUGACGCUGAGGCGCGAAAGCCAGGGGAGCGAACGG